This is a non-coding RNA of Potamilus streckersoni, 77 nucleotides long. NCBI's taxonomy places the organism in Eukaryota, Metazoa, Mollusca, Bivalvia, Unionida, Unionidae. The record is from the annotation of a GenBank genome assembly.
GACUUCUUCAGUGGUCCAGUGGUUAGAGCAUCCGCCUCAGAUGCGGGAGGUCGCAGGUUAAAACCCCGGCUAAGUCA